This 394-nucleotide ribosomal RNA is filed under the name uncultured bacterium. Its description in RNAcentral is "partial 16S ribosomal RNA". It matches the Rfam family "Bacterial small subunit ribosomal RNA", at positions 523 to 918 of the family's 1533-position model. The record is from RNAcentral.
AUACGUAGGGAGCGAGCGUUGUCCGGAAUUACUGGGCGUAAAGGGCGCGUAGGCGGCGCUUCAAGUCGUCUGUCAAAUGGGAGGGCUUAACCCUUUUUCGCAGACGAAACUGGAGAGCUUGAGAAGCAGAGAGGCAAACAGAAUUCCUGGUGUAGCGGUGAAAUGCGUAGAUAUCAGGAAGAAUACCAGUGGCGAAGGCGGUUUGCUGGCUGCAUACUGACGCCGAAGCGCGAAAGCCAGGGGAGCAAACGGGAUUAGAUACCCCGGUAGUCCUGGCAGUAAACGAUGUAUGCUGGGUGUGGGAGUAGCGAUACCUCCGUGCCGAAGUUAACGCGAUAAGCAUACCGCCUGGGGAGUACGGUCGCAAGACUGAAACUUAAAGGAAUUGACGGGG